This 75-nucleotide transfer RNA is filed under the name Coleofasciculus sp. FACHB-125. RNAcentral describes it as "tRNA-Val". It matches the Rfam family "tRNA". Rfam says of the family: Transfer RNA (tRNA) molecules are approximately 80 nucleotides in length. Their secondary structure includes four short double-helical elements and three loops (D, anti-codon, and T loops). Further hydrogen bonds mediate the characteristic L-shaped molecular structure. tRNAs have two regions of fundamental functional importance: the anti-codon, which is responsible for specific mRNA codon recognition, and the 3' end, to which the tRNAs corresponding amino acid is attached (by aminoacyl-tRNA synthetases). tRNAs cope with the degeneracy of the genetic code in two manners: having more than one tRNA (with a specific anti-codon) for a particular amino acid; and 'wobble' base-pairing, i.e. permitting non-standard base-pairing at the 3rd anti-codon position. The record is from RNAcentral. Lineage: Bacteria; Bacillati; Cyanobacteriota; Cyanophyceae; Coleofasciculales; Coleofasciculaceae. RNAcentral also lists the same sequence under 18 other names.
AGUCCUGUAGCUCAAUGGUGGAGCGUUUGCCUUACAAGCAAGGGGUUGCGGGUUCAAAUCCUGCCAGGACUACCA